GCUGGGUGCAGUGGCGCACGCCAGUAAUCCCAGCAGCUCGGGAGGCUGAGGCAGGAGACUCAUGAGUUCAAAGCCAGCCUCAGCAAUAGCCAGGUGCUCAGCAACUCAGUGAGACCCUGUCUCUA
Molecule: small RNA, 125 nt
Filed under: Marmota monax (woodchuck)
Lineage: Eukaryota; Metazoa; Chordata; Mammalia; Rodentia; Sciuridae
Source: RNAcentral